This is a transfer RNA of Termitomyces sp. J132, 71 nucleotides long. It matches the Rfam family "tRNA". Rfam says of the family: Transfer RNA (tRNA) molecules are approximately 80 nucleotides in length. Their secondary structure includes four short double-helical elements and three loops (D, anti-codon, and T loops). The record is from Rfam. NCBI's taxonomy places the organism in Eukaryota, Fungi, Basidiomycota, Agaricomycetes, Agaricales, Lyophyllaceae.
AAGGCAUUAGCUGAGUGGUUUAGCAGUAAAUUUACACUUUACAAACAGAGGUUCAAACCCUCUACUCCUGC